Non-coding RNA from Leptonychotes weddellii (Weddell seal), 606 nucleotides. The record is from RefSeq and is a predicted model, not a curated record. NCBI's taxonomy places the organism in Eukaryota, Metazoa, Chordata, Mammalia, Carnivora, Phocidae.
UGGAAUUGCAGAGACAAAGCUGCAAGGCAGCCAACAGGACCACCUCGUAUCACCUGUGGUUAUCAGCAUCCUCACUGGAGCCAGUCUACUUGAUGACCUCUAUAAAUAUUUCUCCUUCCAUCACUCCCAUGGAGACACCAUGACUGUCAUGGAUCCAAAGCAGAUGAACGUGGCUGCUGCUGUUUGGGCUGUUGUCUCUUAUGUCAUCGCGGACAUGGAGGAAAUGCUGCCCAGGUCUUAGCAAGAACAGGAAAGAAAGCACUUUCGUCCUUUCUGGCCAGGAAUGCUGGGUCUGCAGCUCCAGGAAGUCCCUCUUCAACUAACACUUUCUUCUCACCUGAUCCAUUUUCAAAGCACAGUACUUUCUCAUACUUUCUGUUACCAUCCUUCUUGAUACUUUCCAAAUUCUCUGUUUCUAGAGGACGAAAUGAUCCUCACCCCCACAUAGAGUCAAAAUAUGGUAGGAAUCACAGUGGGGACCUUUAUUUAUACCACCUGUAAAAAUUAUUGUUUCUACUUUGAAAGUAAAUCCUGGAUAAAUAUUUGGAAGAUCUCUGGGUUUUAUGUGUGUAUUGAUGAACAUUAAAUCAAAUGCAGUGAUACCAA